GCCAGGCGCGGUGGCUCACGCCUGUAAUCCCAGCACUUGGGAGGCCGAGGCAGGUGGAUCACCUGAGGUCAGGAGUUCGGGACUAGCCUGACCGACAUGGAGAAACCCUGUCUCUA
Molecule: non-coding RNA, 116 nt
Organism: Gorilla gorilla gorilla (western lowland gorilla)
Lineage: Eukaryota; Metazoa; Chordata; Mammalia; Primates; Hominidae
Rfam family: Metazoan signal recognition particle RNA
About the family: The signal recognition particle (SRP) is a universally conserved ribonucleoprotein.
Source: Rfam